This 663-nucleotide ribosomal RNA is filed under the name Archamoebae sp. IC-2012b. RNAcentral describes it as "SSU rRNA". It matches the Rfam family "Eukaryotic small subunit ribosomal RNA", at positions 47 to 461 of the family's 1831-position model. Lineage: Eukaryota; Evosea. The record is from RNAcentral.
AGCCAUGCAUGCCUAAGUAUAAACUGCACUUAUGGUAAAACUGCGGACGGCUCCAUAGAUCAGUAAUUGUUCGUUUGGCGAUUGAAAGUACUUGGAUAACCCUGUUAAUUGUAGAGCUAAUACAUGCACCGACGGCCUGAUCUGGCGACGGAGAGGGCUGCACUUGUCUAACAUUCUUAAUAGCCCGGGGGACUGRRUAAAUUGCGAGAGCCGGGGAGGGCUCUGGGUGGGCGCUGCAGAGACAACUGAGGGUGCAAAACCAGGGAGGAAGCGCAAAGCCAACACGGCGAAGACUCUGGUGGAAACCUUUAGGCUCAAGUCCGCCGAUGGAGGAUCAAUGGGGUAACUUGUUGAUCACUGUCGGGCCAAGGACGAAAAGCAAUUCUGUGGUUAGCUGGCCUGGAAGUCCGUCGAUCCGGUUUUCCGUUAUUCGGAGACCAACGGGGACAGGGUGAAACAGGACAAUUCAAAGCCGAUCGCUUUCAACCGAGGGCGACACGCCAUUCGAAUUUCUGACCUAUCAACUAGAUGGUAGGAUAGAGGCCUACCAUGGUUAUAACGGGUAACGGGGAAUCAGGGCUCGAUUCCGGAGAGGGAGCCUGAGAAACGGCUACCACUUCCAAGGAAGGCAGCAGGCGCGUAAAUUACUCCCUGCCGACACGG